RNAcentral lists this ribosomal RNA (1511 nucleotides) under Escherichia coli. RNAcentral describes it as "partial 23S ribosomal RNA". It matches the Rfam family "Bacterial large subunit ribosomal RNA", at positions 1439 to 2925 of the family's 2925-position model. Lineage: Bacteria; Pseudomonadati; Pseudomonadota; Gammaproteobacteria; Enterobacterales; Enterobacteriaceae. The record is from RNAcentral.
CUGUACUUGGUGUUACUGCGAAGGGGGGACGGAGAAGGCUAUGUUGGCCGGGCGACGGUUGUCCCGGUUUAAGCGUGUAGGCUGGUUUUCCAGGCAAAUCCGGAAAAUCAAGGCUGAGGCGUGAUGACGAGGCACUACGGUGCUGAAGCAACAAAUGCCCUGCUUCCAGGAAAAGCCUCUAAGCAUCAGGUAACAUCAAAUCGUACCCCAAACCGACACAGGUGGUCAGGUAGAGAAUACCAAGGCGCUUGAGAGAACUCGGGUGAAGGAACUAGGCAAAAUGGUGCCGUAACUUCGGGAGAAGGCACGCUGAUAUGUAGGUGAAGCGACUUGCUCGUGGAGCUGAAAUCAGUCGAAGAUACCAGCUGGCUGCAACUGUUUAUUAAAAACACAGCACUGUGCAAACACGAAAGUGGACGUAUACGGUGUGACGCCUGCCCGGUGCCGGAAGGUUAAUUGAUGGGGUCAGCGCAAGCGAAGCUCUUGAUCGAAGCCCCGGUAAACGGCGGCCGUAACUAUAACGGUCCUAAGGUAGCGAAAUUCCUUGUCGGGUAAGUUCCGACCUGCACGAAUGGCGUAAUGAUGGCCAGGCUGUCUCCACCCGAGACUCAGUGAAAUUGAACUCGCUGUGAAGAUGCAGUGUACCCGCGGCAAGACGGAAAGACCCCGUGAACCUUUACUAUAGCUUGACACUGAACAUUGAGCCUUGAUGUGUAGGAUAGGUGGGAGGCUUAGAAGUGUGGACGCCAGUCUGCAUGGAGCCGACCUUGAAAUACCACCCUUUAAUGUUUGAUGUUCUAACGUUGACCCGUAAUCCGGGUUGCGGACAGUGUCUGGUGGGUAGUUUGACUGGGGCGGUCUCCUCCUAAAGAGUAACGGAGGAGCACGAAGGUUGGCUAAUCCUGGUCGGACAUCAGGAGGUUAGUGCAAUGGCAUAAGCCAGCUUGACUGCGAGCGUGACGGCGCGAGCAGGUGCGAAAGCAGGUCAUAGUGAUCCGGUGGUUCUGAAUGGAAGGGCCAUCGCUCAACGGAUAAAAGGUACUCCGGGGAUAACAGGCUGAUACCGCCCAAGAGUUCAUAUCGACGGCGGUGUUUGGCACCUCGAUGUCGGCUCAUCACAUCCUGGGGCUGAAGUAGGUCCCAAGGGUAUGGCUGUUCGCCAUUUAAAGUGGUACGCGAGCUGGGUUUAGAACGUCGUGAGACAGUUCGGUCCCUAUCUGCCGUGGGCGCUGGAGAACUGAGGGGGGCUGCUCCUAGUACGAGAGGACCGGAGUGGACGCAUCACUGGUGUUCGGGUUGUCAUGCCAAUGGCACUGCCCGGUAGCUAAAUGCGGAAGAGAUAAGUGCUGAAAGCAUCUAAGCACGAAACUUGCCCCGAGAUGAGUUCUCCCUGACUCCUUGAGAGUCCUGAAGGAACGUUGAAGACGACGACGUUGAUAGGCCGGGUGUGUAAGCGCAGCGAUGCGUUGAGCUAACCGGUACUAAUGAACCGUGAGGCUUAACCUUACAAC